AUAUUCAUUUGGCAGAGAAGAUGCCAUCCUCAUGAAGAUGGUUUUGCCUUGGAGAGGCUCCUCUGUUUUUCUCCGGAAGUGCUGAGCUCUGCAAUUUCCCCAAAUGUGGGAAAAUUGACUGCAGUACUUGUAGUGUGUGUGGGGGGGUGUAUUUGCACUUUCUUUUG
Molecule: small nuclear RNA, 167 nt
Filed under: Catagonus wagneri (Chacoan peccary)
Lineage: Eukaryota; Metazoa; Chordata; Mammalia; Artiodactyla; Tayassuidae
Description: U1 spliceosomal RNA (ENSCWAG00000019045.1)
Rfam family: U1 spliceosomal RNA
About the family: U1 is a small nuclear RNA (snRNA) component of the spliceosome (involved in pre-mRNA splicing). Its 5' end forms complementary base pairs with the 5' splice junction, thus defining the 5' donor site of an intron.
Source: RNAcentral